This 1191-nucleotide long non-coding RNA is filed under the name Oreochromis niloticus (Nile tilapia). RNAcentral's name for it is "lncRNA (ENSONIG00000036053.1)". The record is from RNAcentral. Lineage: Eukaryota; Metazoa; Chordata; Actinopteri; Cichliformes; Cichlidae.
GGAGUUUCCAGAGAAAACCCGGCCAGUGAGCUUCAAGCAUCCUGUGUUCCAGUGCUCAGACAUGGGUCCUUCUCCCUCUGUCCCCUCCUCAGGUCUGUCCAGGUGUCACCUGCUGACCUCAAAUCUUGUAUUGUUCGAGAGUUUGAACUAACGCUCUUUUUCUCUUUCUUUCCCUCUCCACCUUCCCUCUAUCCACCCCUCCAUCCACGCUUUUGUCUAGUUGAAUUUGUGAAGGCGGCGGAUAUCAAAGUCAUCGCCGCCUUGGGGGAUUCUCUGACAGUAGGUGUUAUUUGUUGUUUGCUGCUUCCUCUGCUGUGCUGAUGAUACAGUGUAACGUCGACCAAAAAUAGAAUGCUCUGACCGUUGAUUCAUUCAUUUUGCAUACUCACUUAGUCCUGCUGAGCAGAAGGCAGCUGCAAUCGUGAGAAGAGCUAAAACGCUUACAGUGAUGGAUAAAGACUGAGUGCAAAUGAGAUGGAAAUAAACUUUAAACUGCAUUACUAACCAAAUGUUCCACCAACAGAAGAGCAGUCAGCUUAGUUAUUUUCUCUUUUUGUGCUUUUAUGAGAACGGCACAUCUUCAUAAUCUAAGAGAAAAUGCCCAAAUUGCAGCUGGUUAAUAGUGACCUGUUAUCAUCCCCUCUAUAUUUUUAUUCUUGGACUCUUUGUGUAUCAUUGCAUGACUCACAGUUUAUAAUAGUUCUCAUCCCAAGCCUUGAUUAGGCAGCAUUGCACAUAUACGGCAGAAAAUUUGGAACGGCACAAUAGGAUCCGUUUAAAUUAGAGUGACAAACCACCCACACAAACACUUACUCAUAAAACUGCUUUUUUCUCCUCCUCGGCUCCUGAUCUCUGUAUGCCGUGCCCCUUCUUUUCCAGACGGCUAUCGGCGCCAACGCCACCACUGUCCUCGGCAUUCCCAUCGAGUUUCGUCACGUGUCAUGGAGGUGCCCGUCACAAAUCUCACACAAAUAACAAUCAGGAUGAUGUGAAGCAGAUUGAUCUCAUAUGAACAUGUUAGAAACUGUAUUCCCCCAUGAGAGUGUCAGUCUGUAAGAAACAAGGUUAAACUGACAUUAACACUUCUGCUGCUGGUAUUGCUUUCCUUUCUGCUUGCAGCAUUGGAGGCUAUGGGACAUAUCAAGAUGUCAUUACUUUGGCAAGUAAGCUGUCACUGCUGUGUCCGAGCUG